CAGUCGCCGCGGUAAUACGUAGGUGGCAAGCGUUGUCCGGAAUUAUUGGGCGUAAAGGGCUCGCAGGCGGUUUCUUAAGUCUGAUGUGAAAGCCCCCGGCUCAACCGGGGAGGGUCAUUGGAAACUGGGAAACUUGAGUGCAGAAGAGGAGAGUGGAAUUCCACGUGUAGCGGUGAAAUGCGUAGAGAUGUGGAGGAACACCAGUGGUGAAGGCGACUCUCUGGUCUGUAACUGACGCUGAGGAGCGAAAGCGUGGGGAGCGAACAGGAUUAGAUACCCGUGUAGUCCCUGUCUCUUAUAA
This 301-nucleotide ribosomal RNA is filed under the name uncultured bacterium. Its description in RNAcentral is "partial 16S ribosomal RNA". It matches the Rfam family "Bacterial small subunit ribosomal RNA", at positions 509 to 809 of the family's 1533-position model. The record is from RNAcentral.